UACGGAGGGAGCUAGCGUUGUUCGGAAUUACUGGGCGUAAAGCGCACGUAGGCGGCUUUGUAAGUUAGAGGUGAAAGCCCGGAGCUCAACUCCGGAACUGCCUUUAAGACUGCAUCGCUUGAAUCCAGGAGAGGUGAGUGGAAUUCCGAGUGUAGAGGUGAAAUUCGUAGAUAUUCGGAAGAACACCAGUGGCGAAGGCGGCUCACUGGCCCGAUACUGACGCUGAGGCACGAAAGCGUGGGGAGCAAACAGG
Molecule: ribosomal RNA, 253 nt
Filed under: uncultured bacterium
Lineage: Bacteria
Description: partial 16S ribosomal RNA
Rfam family: Bacterial small subunit ribosomal RNA
Source: RNAcentral